CAGUCCUUUAAAACUGCCAUUCCCUCCAGUCUGCUCACAAAGCUCAAUAACCCUGGCAUCAGCACCUCUGUGUAAUUGGAUUUUGGAUUUUCUAAACACCUGACAUUAAUCUGUUACAAUUUUCUCCCUACAUAAGUGAUUGUAUGCCUAUGCACGACUCUAAUGUCAUCAUUAAGCCGAUAGUCAAAGUUGAUUGAGUCCAGAGAUCACACACCGUCUCACAGCUCAGUAGCAGCUCAGUCAGAAGGCCUUGCAACGAGUUGUGAAGUCUGCCCAGUGAAUCCUCAGCACCCGGUUUCCUGUUAUCGAUGCUAUCGGUACGUACAGGGCCUGCAGAGCGCGUGGAGUGUAUCGUCAAGGACACCACUCACCCAAGCAAUGGACCGUUCCCUGCUACCAUCAGCUAACUGCUGCAGCAGGGAGAGGGAUGCAUAUAUAUAUAAAAUGAGGGCUGGCAAUAUGAGUGCAACUCUCAGCCCGCGUUGACACUAGCCCAAUUAUCCAGGCCUCCCAUUGUCACAGAGACAGGCAUGUUGUAGUGUGUUGGUGCCCGACCAUGCCAGUCUCGCUGUGAGGAACACAACAUCAGAGCCGAACUCAGGAUCUACAGGAUCGCACUGAAGCCUGCUGUGCUUGAUGGUCAAACUAAUCAAUGAAUAUUGACAAUGUCGCUGCGCGUUUCCUACCGAAGAGGAUUGUGGAUCCAUACUACGGCCGUGUUCUUCCUUUUACAUGUUUAAUAAGA
Long non-coding RNA from Ictalurus punctatus (channel catfish), 745 nucleotides. NCBI's taxonomy places the organism in Eukaryota, Metazoa, Chordata, Actinopteri, Siluriformes, Ictaluridae. The record is from Ensembl.